CUCUAAUGACUAGGAGAAGCCUAGAAUUAAAUUUACAUAUGUAUUUUUACUGCAGAAACAGAGUAAUCAAUAUUCAUGAAUAUGUUAAUAUACAGAAUGAAUUCCACAGGAUAAAAGUACAACAUGAUUUAAAAGCAAAGGAAUAGUUUUUACAGGGAAAAAGAGCGUGUAUAUUUUUGUAAAGAGUGUUGUAUAGGAUCACCAUGGAAAUUCGGAUUCACAGAAACGGUGACUCGUCAGUUUUAUUCAGUUACAAAAAUCAUAAAUAUCAAUGUCUGUGAGAGUAUCUGUUUAUCAAUUCAUGUCUAUGGAACAUAAACAUCUAAACGUCUGAAGUAGCCCCGUGGGACAUUCACACAGUACGCGGUGCAUCACUCAAGAGGCAUUAACCAAAGCCAGUCUUUCCGGGCUCGGCGGAGAGAGAGUUUCUUGUCUUCUCGGUCUCACAAUUCGGCAAGCAAGAGGAAAACUGUCACGGUAAGGACCUGAAAGGAAUCAAAGGGGACCAGAAGAGAGGACCCACACUAGACAAGCAGCAGGCAGAAAAUGCUCUGAUUUCCAUCAGCCUGCCACACAGGUCCGCAACACCGAGUGGGAGACGCCCACGUGACUCUGCCCACGUGACUGUGCGCUUGGCAGAGGUUAUGCAAAGCUUUACAGCAGUCUCUGCUCUUACCAGUUCCAAACCAGUUAAAGAUCCUUAUUUUGUUCUUACUUCAGAGAAAAACGACCUUUUAUAAUAAUAAUGAGGAUAUUUCAAAAAAAAUUAACGCAAAAAUGUUUUGUUGGGGCUGGAGAGAUGGCGCAGCGGUUAAGAGCACCCGACUGCUCUUCCAGAGGUCCUGAGUUCAAUUCCCAGCAACCACAUGGUGGCUCACAACCAUCUGUAAAGAGAUCCGAUGCCCUCUUCUGGUGUAUCUGAAGACAGCUACAGUGUACUUAUAUAUAAUAAAUGAAUAAAUAAAUCUUUAAAAAAAAAAAAAAGAAA
Molecule: non-coding RNA, 988 nt
Organism: Rattus norvegicus (Norway rat)
Lineage: Eukaryota; Metazoa; Chordata; Mammalia; Rodentia; Muridae
Source: RefSeq, a predicted model, not a curated record